GUCUGUAUGAAGGUGUAUGGAGUCUAGCCUGCCCACUGAUAAGAGUUAAAGGGCCGCGGUAUCCUGACCGUGCGAAGGUAGCAUAAUCAUUAGUCUUUUAAUUGGAGGCUUGUAUGAAUGGUUGAACGAAAGAUAGGCUGUCUCCUAAUUGAAAACUGAAUUUAACGUUUAAGUGAAAAGGCUUAAAUAAAGCAAAAAGACGAUAAGACCCUAUAAAUCUUUACACUACUACUAAAUUUAAGGUUAACUGUAAGUUAAAAAUUUCUUAAAUUUUUAUUAGUGUUCUGUUGGGGCAACAUGGAUAGAAAAAAUUAUCUGUUCUUAAAAAUUACAGAAGUAAUUGCUGAGUGAAACAAAUAAGAUCCUUUAUAGAGAUUUAGAGAUUAAGUUACUUUAGGGAUAACAGCGUUAUUUUACUUGAGAGUUCUUAUCGAAAGUAAGGUUUGCGACCUCGAUGUUGAAUUAAAAUUUCUUUAUGGUGCAGCCGCUAUAAAAGAAAGUCUGUUCGACUUUUAAAAUUUU
Molecule: ribosomal RNA, 522 nt
Filed under: Paguropsina pistillata
Lineage: Eukaryota; Metazoa; Arthropoda; Malacostraca; Decapoda; Diogenidae
Description: partial 16S ribosomal RNA
Rfam family: Bacterial large subunit ribosomal RNA
Source: RNAcentral